RNAcentral lists this ribosomal RNA (503 nucleotides) under uncultured bacterium. RNAcentral's name for it is "partial 16S ribosomal RNA". It matches the Rfam family "Bacterial small subunit ribosomal RNA", at positions 30 to 523 of the family's 1533-position model. The record is from RNAcentral.
AUUGAACGCUGGCGGCAUGCCUUACACAUGCAAGUCGAACGGCAGCACGGGAGCUUGCUCCUGGUGGCGAGUGGCGAACGGGUGAGUAAUACAUCGGAACGUACCCAGUAGUGGGGGAUAACGCACCGAAAGGUGCGCUAAUACCGCAUACGACCUACGGGUGAAAGCGGGGGACCGUAAGGCCUCGCGCUAUUGGAGUGGCCGAUGUCUGAUUAGCUAGUUGGCGGGGUAAUAGCCCACCAAGGCGACGAUCAGUAGCUGGUCUGAGAGGACGAGCAGCCACACUGGGACUGAGACCCGGCCCAGACUGCUACGGGGGGCAGCAGUGGGGAAUUUUUGACAAUGGGGGCAACCCUGAUCCAGCAAUGCCGCGUGUGCGAAGAAGGCCUUCGGGUUGUAAAGCACUUUUGUCAGGGAAGAAAUCUUUCAGGCUAAUACCCUUGGAAGGAUGACGGUACCUGAAGAAUAAGCACCGGCUAACUACGUGCCAGCCGCCGCGGUAA